RNAcentral lists this ribosomal RNA (333 nucleotides) under Staphylococcus epidermidis NIHLM018. RNAcentral describes it as "bacterial SSU rRNA". It matches the Rfam family "Bacterial small subunit ribosomal RNA", at positions 1 to 321 of the family's 1533-position model. Lineage: Bacteria; Bacillati; Bacillota; Bacilli; Caryophanales; Staphylococcaceae. The record is from RNAcentral.
UUUUUAUGGAGAGUUUGAUCCUGGCUCAGGAUGAACGCUGGCGGCGUGCCUAAUACAUGCAAGUCGAGCGAACAGACGAGGAGCUUGCUCCUCUGACGUUAGCGGCGGACGGGUGAGUAACACGUGGAUAACCUACCUAUAAGACUGGGAUAACUUCGGGAAACCGGAGCUAAUACCGGAUAAUAUAUUGAACCGCAUGGUUCAAUAGUGAAAGACGGUUUUGCUGUCACUUAUAGAUGGAUCCGCGCCGCAUUAGCUAGUUGGUAAGGUAACGGCUUACCAAGGCGACGAUGCGUAGCCGACCUGAGAGGGUGAUCGGCCACACUGGAACUG